RNAcentral lists this ribosomal RNA (264 nucleotides) under uncultured archaeon. Its description in RNAcentral is "partial 16S ribosomal RNA". It matches the Rfam family "Archaeal small subunit ribosomal RNA", at positions 719 to 982 of the family's 1478-position model. The record is from RNAcentral.
AGACGUCUACAUUAGAUACCCGGUAGUCCCAGCCGUAAACUAUGCGCGUUAGGUGUAUCGGUGACCACGAGUUACCGAGGUGCCGAAGGGAAACCGUGAAACGUGCCGCCUGGGAAGUACGGUCGCAAGGCUGAAACUUAAAGGAAUUGGCGGGGGAGCACCGCAACGGGAGGAGCGUGCGGUUUAAUUGGAUUCAACACCGUAAAACUCACCAGGGAAGACUGUUACAUGAAGGCCGAGAUGAAGACUCUGCUAGAUUUUCAG